Molecule: ribosomal RNA, 855 nt
Filed under: Triticum aestivum (bread wheat)
Lineage: Eukaryota; Viridiplantae; Streptophyta; Magnoliopsida; Poales; Poaceae
Description: partial small subunit ribosomal RNA
Source: RNAcentral
AUGAGGAGGUUUUUGGUUCCUAGAGCAAGUAUUGAGAAUGCAAGUGAUGUGCAGCCGGUUGCUAACAAUAGUGAGUUUAAUCCGGACGAAAUUCAAUCUGAUCCCGCACUGAGAAAACAAAUUGCUGAAUAUAUAUCAUUGAUUGUGACCACAACAACUUCAUCUUGCAAGAAGAUGGAAGUGUUGGUGGAAGAAUCUCACAAUGAUACUUUGGAAAGGCUUGAGAGGGGUGAGAUAUCUACAGGAAGAGGCUUGAAUCAACAGACUAGUCUUGCUAGACCUGGCGAUACUAGAUGGGGUUCACAUCAUAAAACUUUGCUUCGCUUGGACAAAAUGUGGGCCUCUAUAAUAAAAGUUCUUAGCACGAUUGAUGCAAAUGGGCGUAAUCCGAGCCAUGCUGCGGGUUGCAUAGAAAAAAUGGAGUGCUUCAAAUUUUCUCUCGUUUUGAAGUUUAUGCUAAAGUUGUUUGGUAUAACAAAUGAGCUCUCACAACUUUUUCAAAGAAGGGAUACAAAUAUUGUGCUUGCCUUGGAAUUAAUUCACGAUGUCAAACUCCGGUUGGCUACCAUGAGAGAUAGUGGUUGGGAGAGUAUUUUUGAUGAGGUCAAACAAUUCUGCAAUUCCAAAGGUAUUCCAGUGCCAAAUAUGGAUGAUGAAAUACUAGUUCGAGGUCGCUCGAGGCUAGAGGCAAGUACUAUCACUAAUCUUCAUUAUUAUCGGGCUGAGAUUUUCUAUGUCGUUAUUGACAAAAUAUGUGUUGAGAUGAAUCAUCGCUUCAGUGACUCAAACCAAGAGGUAAUUGCAUGUUUCUCGUGUCUUGAUCCCAAGAAUUCUUUCUCCAAGUUUGAUGUAUAG